This is a transfer RNA of Sus scrofa (pig), 73 nucleotides long. It matches the Rfam family "tRNA". From Rfam's summary of the family: Transfer RNA (tRNA) molecules are approximately 80 nucleotides in length. Their secondary structure includes four short double-helical elements and three loops (D, anti-codon, and T loops). NCBI's taxonomy places the organism in Eukaryota, Metazoa, Chordata, Mammalia, Artiodactyla, Suidae. The record is from Rfam.
UCCCUGGUGGCCCAGUGGUUAAAGACUCAGCAUUGUCACUGCUGUGACUCAGGUUCAAUCCCUGGCUGGGGAA